AGCCAGAGGGGGUGAGUGAGUGACGCGGAGUCACCUUCUCAUGAGCCUGCAGUAAACUCAAAGGAGACCUAAAAUACGACAUCUACAAUGCCUGUGGAGUGUCGCUUCUGUGUUGUUUUAAAACAAUGCCCAGCUGUUCUCUUCACUUGUUCUUAUUUUUGUUGUCUCUGUGAGAUGCAGAUAGAUAUAUAUGCAGUGAUGAUGGAUACUGGAAAAACUCCAAAGGAGAAAUAACCCCUCCUGUCUGUGAACCAGUUUGUGGAACACGGAGAAGUGGAACUGUGGCAUGUAUAUAUGGAGGAAGGCGAGCCAAGCCUGGAGAAUUUCCCUGAUAGUGCUGUGGAUUCUUGUAAGACUGCAGCUUUUGAAGGAACGCACGUCCAGUGAAAGCAUGCAAGAGCAUCCAGGUACCUUACCCCACUCCCUCAGGUAUGGUGGUCGUUGAAGAAUCCCAGCUGCACCCUGUGUUUGGGGGGCCUUUACGUACGAUGCUGUACGCCUCAAAGUACCUCUGCAGGUACCUGCUGUACACAGUGUAGGGACAGCUGUACAGCCCUUGCCUUAAUGAAGUUCCUCCCAUCAGCUGCAAAAACUGUUUUUCUGAACAUAGUUUUAUAAAGAAUAAGCUUUCACAUUCAGAUUUAUAAUUUCAGUACGUGUUCAGCUGACAACAUUCUCAGAACUAAUUAGAAGCAAGGUUAUAAAAAAACAUUUUGACUACACUAUGUAUCCCCUUACAAUUACAUAAACUCCCUCUUUCUUGUAUCUCACAUUCUUUCAUUAGCAUUUAUUUCACUUUCUAGAAUAUAACUGAAAAUGCAAUCUCUUUAAAAAAAAA
RNAcentral lists this long non-coding RNA (838 nucleotides) under Aquila chrysaetos chrysaetos. Its description in RNAcentral is "lncRNA (ENSACCG00020014011.1)". Lineage: Eukaryota; Metazoa; Chordata; Aves; Accipitriformes; Accipitridae. The record is from RNAcentral.